This 451-nucleotide ribosomal RNA is filed under the name uncultured bacterium. RNAcentral describes it as "bacterial SSU rRNA". It matches the Rfam family "Bacterial small subunit ribosomal RNA", at positions 29 to 524 of the family's 1533-position model. The record is from RNAcentral.
AGCGAACGCUGGCGGCAGGCCUAACACAUGCGAGUCGAACGAACUCUUCGGAGUUAGUGGCGGACGGGUGAGUAACACGUGGGAACGUGCCUUUAGGUUCGGAAUAACUCAGGGAAACUUGUGCUAAUACCGAAUGUGCCCUUCGGGGGAAAGAUUUAUCGCCUUUAGAGCGGCCCGCGUCUGAUUAGCUAGUUGGUGAGGUAAAGGCUCACCAAGGCGACGAUCAGUAGCUGGUCUGAGAGGAUGAUCAGCCACAUUGGGACUGAGACACGGCCCAAACUCCUACGGGAGGCAGCAGUGGGGAAUCUUGCGCAAUGGGCGAAAGCCUGACGCAGCCAUGCCGCGUGAAUGAUGAAGGUCUUAGGAUUGUAAAAUUCUUUCUACCGGGGACGAUAAUGACGGUACCCGGAGAAGAAGCCCCGGCUAACUUCGUGCCAGCAGCCGCGGUAAU